Molecule: transfer RNA, 73 nt
Filed under: Pseudomonadota bacterium
Lineage: Bacteria; Pseudomonadati; Pseudomonadota
Also listed under: 1 other name
Description: tRNA-Lys
Rfam family: tRNA
About the family: Transfer RNA (tRNA) molecules are approximately 80 nucleotides in length. Their secondary structure includes four short double-helical elements and three loops (D, anti-codon, and T loops).
Source: RNAcentral
GCCCCGGUAGCUCAGCUGGUAGAGCAACUGCCUUUUAAGCAGGAGGUCGGGGGUUCGAAUCCCUCUCGGGGCA